This 1200-nucleotide long non-coding RNA is filed under the name Malus domestica (apple). RNAcentral describes it as "long non-coding RNA (MDOM_LNC008175)". Lineage: Eukaryota; Viridiplantae; Streptophyta; Magnoliopsida; Rosales; Rosaceae. The record is from RNAcentral.
AAAUAUUAAAAUAAUUAAUUAAAUAAAAAAUAUAUAAUUAAAAAAAAAAAAAUAGAACCCAUUCAGUCUUCCCCAAUCCAAUCCCAGGCUUCUUUCCCACCUGGAAUCCGACUCGCAGAUCUUCCAGAAACCCUAGCCUUCCUCUUAAGAUUCUCUCCCAUUCCUCCAAGAACCACUUCUUUCUCUCUCUCCUCUCCGCCUCCGCCUCCGUCUCUUUCGCUCCUUUUCUUCUUCACUUCCGUCUUCGAUCAAGCUCCUUCGUCUUUCACUGGCGAAGAACUAGAAGCUCCAAACACCCACAAAGAAAGCCCAGUCCGAGCUCAUCACAAUAAUCUCCAUUAGAGAACAAAGAUACAAACUUCAACUUAAAAAAAGCCUUAACAUUUAAUUAAAAUCAAAACUGAAACAAAAGAUUAAACACGAUGAGCAAGACUAAAUUAAAUCAGUUCCCAGUCCCAGAAGAAACAAAAAUUAAAUGAAUUCUGAACAAAAAUUAAAUCGUGAGCAGCAGAAAUAUGGGGUUCGGCCUUUGGGUCUGGGUUCCGUUGCAGAGAGAAAAGGGGUUGGUUUAGGGAUUUCGUUAAUCCCGAACAAUUCAAGAACCUCGAAAGCUUCACAACUGAUAAGAAAUGAAGGAAAAAAAAUAAAGAAAAUUGAGGCGAGAUCAGAGGGUGAUUUAGGGAUUUCGCUUCAACCAACCGUUCUUGGCGAGCUCGAGGACGUGCGUGGUGUGCUUAGCAGAAGCUCGAUAGGGUUCGCUUCAAGAGAAGGUGGAGUUAAGGACCUUCACCUGCUCGCUGACCUCGCUCAGCAACGCCUUUCUGGCUUCGCCGGACUUCACCGAGAUCUCCUGCUCGUCGCCGGUUUCCUCCUCUAGCUUCCGUUUCUGCCUCUUCCACCCUGUCUCUGGUCUUGGCGCCUCUGCAACUCCAUCAACAAUGACGGAAGCGACGAAGAAGAGAAACUGAUCCAAAUUGGAAAAACAAACUUCGGAUUUGAACAGGUUAGACUGAGAGACAGAGACAAGUGUGAGAGAGAUCUACGGGUAUUUUCCGACUUUUAGAAUUGAAAAAAAAAAAAAAAAGAGGGGUUGGUCGCUGGAUUGGGUGGGGAAGAGGAAAGAGAGAUGAACCCAUAUUGGUUUUUUAGGUUUAGGUUUGGUUUUUUAAUUUUUUUAAUUUUAAAUUUUAAAUUUAAUUU